CUGCCUACGGGGGGCAGCAGUGAGGAAUAUUGGUCAAUGGUCGGGAGACUGAACCAGCCAAGCCGCGUGAGGGAGGAAGGUACAGAGUAUCGUAAACCUCUUUUGCCAGGGAACAAAGACUGGGACGCGUCCCCGGAUGAGUGUACCUGAAGAAAAAGCAUCGGCUAACUCCGUGCCAGCAGCCGCGGUAAUACGGAGGAUGCGAGCGUUAUCCGGAUUUAUUGGGUUUAAAGGGUGCGUAGGCGGCCUGCUAAGUCUGGAGUGAAAGGUACCGGCUCAACCGGUACAGGCUCUGGACACUGGCG
RNAcentral lists this ribosomal RNA (305 nucleotides) under uncultured bacterium. Its description in RNAcentral is "bacterial SSU rRNA". It matches the Rfam family "Bacterial small subunit ribosomal RNA", at positions 335 to 638 of the family's 1533-position model. The record is from RNAcentral.